GCCACGCCCGCUCAGAAACUCAAAGGAAUUGACGGGGCCCGCACAAGCGGUGGAGUAUGUGGUUAAUUCGAUGCAACGCGAAGAACCUUACCUGGUCUUGACAUCCCGGAGACCCUUAGGAAACUAGGGGGUGCUUCCAUCUGGAAGAAUCUGGAGACAGGUGCUGCAUGGCUGUCGUCAGCUCGUGUCGUGAGAUGUUGGGUUAAGUCCCGCAACGAGCGCAACCCUUGCCUUUAGUUGCCAGCAGUUCGGCUGGGCACUCUAAAGGGACUGCCGGUGUUAAACCGGAGGAAGGUGGGGAUGACGUCAAGUCCUCAUGGCCUUUAUGACCAGGGCUACACACGUACUACAAUGGCCGAUACAAAGGGCAGCGACACUGCGAGGUGAAGCCAAUCCCGUAAAAUCGGUCUCAGUCCGGAUUGGAGUCUGCAACUCGACUCCAUGAAGUUGGAAUCGCUAGUAAUCGUGGAUCAGCAUGCCACGGUGAAUACGUUCCCGGGCCUU
Molecule: ribosomal RNA, 504 nt
Filed under: uncultured Desulfobulbus sp.
Lineage: Bacteria; Pseudomonadati; Thermodesulfobacteriota; Desulfobulbia; Desulfobulbales; Desulfobulbaceae
Description: bacterial SSU rRNA
Rfam family: Bacterial small subunit ribosomal RNA
Source: RNAcentral